UACUUGGAAUUUGAUGCUCUGAGAGCUUUCUAUGAGUCAUGAGGAAACAUUAAAGGGAGUGUGGUAGUCUCCUGUGACAAAAGUCUACAGGCAAAUAGAACAUAAGCUUCCUUACUCCAUCAACAAUUUAAUAUAAAAGAACAUUUUAUGUAAGCGUGCUAUGGUGUUCAAAGGGGGAAACUGAAAGAGCUUUCCAAUAUUGGAGAAAUUAAAGCCAUAGAAGUUCACAAUAGAUAAUAGUAGCAGAAAUUUGGACUUUGGGGGCCAACAUCAUAGGUUACUAGGACAUUACCUGCCGGUGGUAAGUAAGCUGUGUCUCUUGCUCAAUCUCAGAAUCCAGUUCUGGAACAUCAGACAGAUCUGAAUCUGAUUCAUCACUGUUGGACUCAGCCAGACUUUCUGUAAAUGUUUGUAAGACAAACAUCAUUUGUUCAAAAGAGUUACUUUCAAAACAACAGUGUAAAAUUAAUGAUUAAGAGAUGACUCUGUCAACCUGACAAGGAAACAAGCCAUAAAAUAGUUAAAUGAAAUGACCUUGUCAAGUGACACUGAUGUCAGUCAACUGUACUACAGAUUAUCUACCCGUCCAAUCACCGAAACUCGAUAGCUCCUUUAAAUCCCCCCAAUAGAUGCUACACUAAGUGUCUGUGCAGAUAUAAUUGAAUAUAACUUAUAAUCAACACGAAAAACAGCUAAAAUUACUACAUACAACAGAUGAGUUGAUAUUUUCUUGAUUUUUAAAGCAUAUAAAAACCUGAGAACCCAUAUCUUCAAGAUGAAACACUGUUGGUUUUGCUAGCAGAAUUAUUUCACUCAUUUGACAAGUUAAAUUUCCACCCAAAUUCUUCGUAUAGCACCCUCCGUGGUACCUGACUUUAAAGAUAUACAUGUUCUAACAGGAAAUUUCUGCUAGUAAGAAGCUUCAAUGGUAAAAGUGCUAGUUUGGAACUAUGGAUGGGGGAGCUGUUUACGCUUACCUUGCGGUGCUAUGUGAAGAGCAUCUUUUAGUUUUCUCUCAGGAAUAAAUUUCCACUGAAAGACAGAAUGAUCUGCUCCACCAAUAGAGAUAACCCACUGAUAAUCAUGUGACCAUCUGACAUUAGUUACAUGAGCUGAAUGGCCAAUGUACUUUCUAAACUUGGCCCCUGUAACAAAAGUAUAUCUUUAAAUUAAUAAAAAGCAACACACACACACACCACCUUAAACAACAACUACUGUAUCCAAACUAUUAUAACAUCACAACACUGAGUAUGACCAGAUGGGAAAAUGAUCUUAAAAUUAGUUAAAAGAAGAAAUGAAUGAACUGAGGGGUAUAUUUCUCUUACUUAUUUUACAAUAUAGUUUAGAGGGAACUACAAAAACUGUGAGGAGUUCCUAUUGCUGAAGACCCUAUGUACUUUGGACACAGGGCUUGGAAGAAUAGUUAGAUGUGCCUUAAAAGCUACCUUCCUGGUGACCAGCUUUCAUGAUACCAGGAGGUGCUAUACAGGCUUCCAAGGGAAGCAAGCUCAACAGUCCCCCAGCAGUGACACCUGGGAACUACAGCAAUGAUCAUCGCAGGAAGAUAAUCCCUAAAGGUGUAACCAACAGCUGUAUAACUGGACUCAAGGCCUGCUCACCAGGAGAGGGAUCAUGACUAGUCCUGAAAACCUCCCCAACCACCCACGGCUCCUGAGGUCACAGAUGUCAGAAGAGAACCUACUAGUGCCACUUCCCUCAGCUAGGCUUCUAACGGUUGUCUAGUUACUUAUCCUUACACCCACAGAUAAGUGUACCUCCUAAUCCUCAUCAGAGAGUCCUGAUUGCAUCAAAAUGUGGGGAGCCCAGUCCCAACUGUUACAUCUACAACACAAUCCUUAUACCCAAGGCUUGGGGAAUGUUAUACAAGAACUGUCAGAACCCGGCAAGUCCUCUACAAGAUUGAAUCUUCUAGAUGGUAGAAAAGCUUCACCCAUGAAGCCUCAACAAAAUGGCUGCUAAAACAAGACCUGCACAAUGACAUUAGUUGGCAUGCUAACAUAGAUGGUGGGAGUGGGAUUGAAUGUGGUCUUACUGCUAAAAGAGUUAUAGGCAAUUACAAACUAUGAGAGAAGGAGAAUCAGUCAUCCUCAGAGAUGGGCACCCUAAAUUUUAUCCAACCCCAAGAGGUCAGCCAGAAAAACAAACAAAC
This 2170-nucleotide long non-coding RNA is filed under the name Mus musculus (house mouse). RNAcentral's name for it is "long non-coding RNA chr12:98860167-98862337". Lineage: Eukaryota; Metazoa; Chordata; Mammalia; Rodentia; Muridae. The record is from RNAcentral.